UACGUAGGGAGCAAGCGUUGUCCGGAAUCAUUGGGCGUAAAGCGCGCGUAGGCGGCCCCGUAAGUCCGCUGUGAAAGUCAAAGGCUCAACCUUUGAAAGCCGGUGGAUACUGUGGGGCUAGAGUCCGGAAGAGGCGAGUGGAAUUCCUGGUGUAGCGGUGAAAUGCGUAGAUAUCGGGAGGAACACCUGUGGCGAAGGCGGCCACCUGGACAACAACUGACGCUGAGACGCGAAAGCGUGGGUAGCAACGAGAG
This 254-nucleotide ribosomal RNA is filed under the name uncultured bacterium. RNAcentral describes it as "partial 16S ribosomal RNA". It matches the Rfam family "Bacterial small subunit ribosomal RNA", at positions 524 to 778 of the family's 1533-position model. The record is from RNAcentral.